AGUGAACGCUGGCGGUAGGCCUAACACAUGCAAGUCGAGCGGCAGCACAGUAAGAGCUUGCUCUUACGGGUGGCGAGUGGCGGACGGGUGAGGAAUACAUCGGAAUCUACUUUUUCGUGGGGGAUAACGUAGGGAAACUUACGCUAAUACCGCAUACGACCUACGGGUGAAAGCAGGGGAUCUUCGGACCUUGCGCGAUUGAAUGAGCCGAUGUCGGAUUAGCUAGUUGGCGGGGUAAAGGCCCACCAAGGCGACGAUCCGUAGCUGGUCUGAGAGGAUGAUCAGCCACACUGGAACUGAGACUCGGUCCAGACUCCUACGGGAGGCAGCAGUGGGGAAUAUUGGACAAUGGGCGCAAGCCUGAUCCAGCCAUACCGCGUGGGUGAAGAAGGCCUUCGGGUUGUAAAGCCCUUUUGUUGGGAAAGAAAAGCAGCAGGUUAAUACCCCGCUGUUCUGACGGUACCCAAAGAAUAAGCACCGGCUAACUUCGUG
This 492-nucleotide ribosomal RNA is filed under the name uncultured bacterium. Its description in RNAcentral is "partial 16S ribosomal RNA". It matches the Rfam family "Bacterial small subunit ribosomal RNA", at positions 29 to 507 of the family's 1533-position model. The record is from RNAcentral.